GUGCCAUUAAGGACGCAUAGCUAGGGUUGCCGAACCCCAGACUGUCUGAGAACUGGCAUAUGAAAGCCUAUGCCUUGGGGGGAGCUAAAUAUAAGGUAGCAUGAAUAUUUUUAAUACCCAACCAUAAUGAAACCUGUGGAAGCUUUGAUCAUCUGGUUGAUGACCAUAACUAUUUGGCUAAGUUUAUGGCAUACUUUAUUUAGGGAUGGUGAUUGUGGCCAACUCAAUAGAUCUGCAAUCCGAUCCGAUCUGAAUAGGAUAGAUUUUAUUUGACCUGAUCUGAUCCAACCUGCUUCGAUUAAAAUUCAAAGC
This 312-nucleotide long non-coding RNA is filed under the name Elaeis guineensis (African oil palm). RNAcentral describes it as "long non-coding RNA (EGUI_LNC031519)". Lineage: Eukaryota; Viridiplantae; Streptophyta; Magnoliopsida; Arecales; Arecaceae. The record is from RNAcentral.